CGCCGCCGCCGCCGCCGCCGCUCCCAGGCUCCCUCCCCGAGCGCCGGCCGGGGCGUGGGGGGCGGCGGGGCCGCGGGCGGCCGGGGGGCGCGCACUGAUUGGCGCCCGAGACAGGACCCUCAGCCUCCGGGGAUCUUACCAGAAUUCUGAUCUUUUAUGACUUCAUCUUCAGAGCCUGGAAAACACUUCUGGAGCCUUGCUGUAAUAAAAAUGGUCACUUGACCCUGUAGUGGAAGACUUCAGUCAAUGAAGAGUACACCGAAAUUGAAAUGAAGAAUUAAUCUACUUAGAAAGUAGGGUUGGGAGUGUAGCUCAUGCCUCAUGCAUAGGGAAGCCCUGAGUUUGAUCCCUGUCACACACAAAAAGUAGAUGAAUAUAGAUUUUAAAUCUUACCUUUUGGGCCGGGAAGAAGCAUGGUUAAUGUAAGUGUUUUGUAUGGAGGAAACCUGAUUUUGACCCCUGGUACCAUCCGGUUCCCCCAGUACUUUUGGGAUUGAUCCCAAUCAUCAGUAGCCCCCUAAGUACUGCUGGUGCGACCCAAAAUAUAAACAAAUUGAUAGAGAAUAGAUAGAUAGAUCUUUGAUUUCAUACCUACCUGAAAAUCCAGAAUGAAAAAUCCUGGAUGAAAAUAGGGAAGAAUCAAUGUAUUCUUAGGUAGCGCUUUUUGGACUUCAAUUCCCGUUCCUAUCACUUUGGAGAUGUUACUAAAAUGCAGGUCCUAUUUGAGGUUUGGACAAAUGUUUUGACUUUCCAGUAAAUUUUCAGAUGAUGCUAGGCUGCUGACUGCUGAAUCCUUUAAACAUGGUGUGCAGAAGGAACACGCCUAUUGGCCAAAGUGUUAAAAACACAGGGAUACUUACCUACUGGCUCUGUGGGAGUACAAAUAAGUUUAAAAAAAGGAGAAGCAUGAAUCAAACAAGACACAGUUGUACACAUUUAGAUGGAAUCAAACAUGUACUACCCAGGCCUUCACUGAAUACAAAGAAAGAUAUUUUUGAAAUUUCCUAUGAAGCUUCAAAAAAAAAAAAAGAAUCAUUGUAUCUUUCACUGGAGAGGAAAAGUGCAGCAUUUUCUAUUAAGAGGAAACCAAAGGCUCUCAGCUGCCGAAUUGUAUGGUGCCAGUUUACACAAAUCUCUACCUCUCUGCCUUUCCUCAAAAGUCUCUAAUGAUAUGGGUCCUGGAAAAUAAUUUGUCUUUUUCCAAGGUGUACUCUUAAUUUUACAAUAAAAGCUCUUCCAGAAAAUUCAAGCAAAAAAAGAAAGGGUGGGGGAGGUAAUUUUAUAGUAUUGUUGAGACAUCGAUUAGAAAACAUAUGCUUUAGAAUUUAGGACAUUUUAAGAGAAUUAUGGGCUUACAAUGUGUAUCUAUGCAGUUUUAGCUUGCACAGUAUCAGAAAUUUCUAAGGGUUUAUAAGCAUUUACAGAAUGACUGUAGGCUUUCAACUGCAGGGCAUUUUUCUAGAUCAUCUGCUUAAUGCUCCUAUAGACACCCACCUAUCAAAUAGGUGAUUUUUCAAUAUGUACCGGGCCAAAAUAGACCUGGAUUUGUGAAUUGUAUCUGUUCUUUUACUAAUUGUGUGUGUGUGUGUGUGUGUGUGUGUGUGUGUGUGUAAGAAGCAGUGCUGUUUGCCUUACAAUAUACAAUGUGCAGAAGAUAUAAACAAUACUGCCGAUAGCUGAUUGAGAUCAUGUGUUUUGAAGCCUUGCAACCUGGUGAGCAUGGCCCUAGUUAGGUUAGUAACUGUUUCCGUUGAGUUGUUGCUACUGCACACCAGGCUGCUAUUGCCAUCUUUGACCUUCUUAAUGUUUUAUUUGGAGAAUCAGUUACGUGUUUCUUUAUUCUUACAUGCCAACUUCUCCUUUAUAUUUUAAGAAGACUUCAAGAGGGCCGGAGCGAUAGUACAGCGAGUAAGGCAUUUGCCUUGCAUGCGGCCGACCCGGGUCUGAUCUCCAGCAUCCCAUAUGGUCCACCAAGCACUGCCAGGAAUAAUUCCUGAGUGCGGAGCCAGGAGUAAACCCUGCGCAUUGCUGAGUGUGACCCAAAAAUCAAAACAACAAAAAAAACACUUCAAGAACACAGCAUCCGUUUACAAGACUGUUGAAAACAACCUUGUACUGCUUUAGUGCUUGAUCUGAGGUGCGUAGGAAAAACAAUGUCAGUUGAUUUUCAUCCUCAACUUUUCAGAUCUUUGAAGGAAAAUGAGGACUAGUUUGAAAAGCUGUUUGCUGUUUGAACAUAAUCUUAGCCAACAUCACUCUUCUGAUCAUUAUCUAUAGCAACGGUAAAGCAUACAUGUAGCCGCUCCUUUUCUUUUGGAGGGGCGGGGGUGGGGGCGGCUAGUGGGCCCAAUACCUGCUGAGAGCUCUGGGCUCAUGUGUGGUGUAUUCAGUGGAUCAUGUGAAGCUGGGACUCAAACCCAAGGCACUCGUGUAGCAGCGACUUCUCUAAGUACUUGUGUUCAUUUUUCCUCUCCCAGUAAGCAUUAAUAGUUGGAAAACAUUUAUUCCUGACCGUAAUAUUUCACCUGAAGUAAAUCUGAGAUGUGGAUCUUCGGCAAAGACAUAAGCAGGGCAGAGCAGGUCCCACAACCAAAUGCGAAGUUAAAACAGACUGUUUUAAAAGUGUUAAAGUACUU
This is a long non-coding RNA of Sorex araneus (European shrew), 2636 nucleotides long. RefSeq lists it as uncharacterized. The record is from RefSeq and is a predicted model, not a curated record. Lineage: Eukaryota; Metazoa; Chordata; Mammalia; Eulipotyphla; Soricidae. The transcript is spliced from 3 exons.